UCUCCGUUGGUGAACCAGCGGAGGGAUCAUUGCUGGAACGCGCCUCGGCGCACCCAGAAACCCUUUGUGAACUUAUACCUUACUGUUGCCUCGGCGCAGGCCGGCCUCUUAGCUGAGGCCCCCCGGAGACGGGGAGCAGCCCGCCGGCGGCCAAGUUAACUCUUGUUUCUACCAUGAAUCUCUGAGUAAAAAAACAUAAAUGAAUCAAAACUUUCAACAACGGAUCUCUUGGUUCUGGCAUCGAUGAAGAACGCAGC
RNAcentral lists this unclassified non-coding RNA (257 nucleotides) under uncultured fungus. Its description in RNAcentral is "sequence contains ITS1, 5.8S rRNA gene". The stretch from base 209 to 257 matches the Rfam family "5.8S ribosomal RNA", at positions 1 to 49 of the family's 154-position model. Lineage: Eukaryota; Fungi. The record is from RNAcentral.